Molecule: ribosomal RNA, 496 nt
Filed under: uncultured bacterium
Lineage: Bacteria
Description: partial 16S ribosomal RNA
Rfam family: Bacterial small subunit ribosomal RNA
Source: RNAcentral
GAUGAACGCUGGCGGCGUGCCUAAUACAUGCAAGUCGAGCGAACAGACGAGGAGCUUGCUCCUCUGACGUUAGCGGCGGACGGGUGAGUAACACGUGGAUAACCUACCUAUAAGACUGGGAUAACUUCGGGAAACCGGAGCUAAUACCGGAUAACAUGUUGAACCGCAUGGUUCAACAGUGAAAGACGGUCUUGCUGUCACUUAUAGAUGGAUCCGCGCCGCAUUAGCUAGUUGGUAAGGUAACGGCUUACCAAGGCAACGAUGCGUAGCCGACCUGAGAGGGUGAUCGGCCACACUGGAACUGAGACACGGUCCAGACUCCUACGGGAGGCAGCAGUAGGGAAUCUUCCGCAAUGGGCGAAAGCCUGACGGAGCAACGCCGCGUGAGCGAAGAAGGUCUUCGGAUCGUAAAACUCUGUUAUUAGGGAAGAACAAAUGUGUAAGUAACUAUGCACGUCUUGACGGUACCUAAUCAGAAAGCCACGGCUAACUACGU